UGAGCAUCAAGAUUAAAAGUUUUUAUAACAUUAUAUAAGCAUUAAGGAUAUAAAUAUAGCUCUUUUAUGUCCUUACAACUAUUUUUUUACCCUGUUUUUGGAAAAUUAAGGCUUCAUAAAAUAGGACGUUUUGGGUUUUGAACUCGAGAGUGAGGUACCAAAGUUCAAUACUUUUGCUCAAAGUUUUGCAAAUCUUACAUUUGAAUUUAAUGAGUUUUUAAAAGAGCUUAGCUCAAAGAAGUAGGAACAUUUCAGCAACACAAGCAGUGUCAUAAAAUAAGUAAACAAAACAACAUGAAAAUAG
Molecule: unclassified non-coding RNA, 304 nt
Filed under: Hevea brasiliensis (rubber tree)
Lineage: Eukaryota; Viridiplantae; Streptophyta; Magnoliopsida; Malpighiales; Euphorbiaceae
Source: RNAcentral